RNAcentral lists this transfer RNA (85 nucleotides) under Felis catus (domestic cat). It matches the Rfam family "tRNA". Rfam says of the family: Transfer RNA (tRNA) molecules are approximately 80 nucleotides in length. Their secondary structure includes four short double-helical elements and three loops (D, anti-codon, and T loops). Further hydrogen bonds mediate the characteristic L-shaped molecular structure. tRNAs have two regions of fundamental functional importance: the anti-codon, which is responsible for specific mRNA codon recognition, and the 3' end, to which the tRNAs corresponding amino acid is attached (by aminoacyl-tRNA synthetases). tRNAs cope with the degeneracy of the genetic code in two manners: having more than one tRNA (with a specific anti-codon) for a particular amino acid; and 'wobble' base-pairing, i.e. permitting non-standard base-pairing at the 3rd anti-codon position. Lineage: Eukaryota; Metazoa; Chordata; Mammalia; Carnivora; Felidae. The record is from Rfam by way of RNAcentral.
GCCUGGGUGGCUCAGUCAGUUAAGCAUCUGACUUUGGCUCAGGUCGUGAUCUCGCAGUUUGUGAGUUCAAGCCCCAUGUCAGGCU